RNAcentral lists this ribosomal RNA (274 nucleotides) under uncultured bacterium. RNAcentral describes it as "partial 16S ribosomal RNA". It matches the Rfam family "Bacterial small subunit ribosomal RNA", at positions 523 to 796 of the family's 1533-position model. The record is from RNAcentral.
AUACGGAGGGGGCUAGCGUUGUUCGGAUUUACUGGGCGUAAGGCGCGCGUAGGCGGGCUGGUUAGUUGGGGGUGAAAUCCCAGGGCUUAACCCUGGAACUGCCCUCAAUACUGCCAGUCUUGAGUUCGAGAGAGGUAAGUGGAAUUCCUAGUAUAGAGGUGAAAUUCGUAGAUAUUAGGAAGAACACCAGUGGCGAAGGCGGCUUACUGGCUCGAUACUGACGCUGAGGCGCGAAAGCGUGGGGAGCAAACAGGAUUAGAUACACCAGUAGUCC